Molecule: long non-coding RNA, 562 nt
Organism: Eriocheir sinensis (Chinese mitten crab)
Lineage: Eukaryota; Metazoa; Arthropoda; Malacostraca; Decapoda; Varunidae
Exons: 4
Source: RefSeq, a predicted model, not a curated record
AAUUUACGGCGACACCCGCGGCGGCCGGCAAAAAUAGGGCAGUGUUGGUCCAGUCGUGGGUGGCGGAGGGUGUGCUGCUCUUCUCCCCGGGCCCUGCCGCGCCUCCGUCAGCAGUGCCGGGAACGUGUCGCCGAGGAGGCUGCAGUGCAUACCUGGAGGAGCCUCGGAGACUUGGCAAGUGUGACGGAGGGCCGACAGAGGGACACAUGGAGAGAAUAACUCACCGCUGUAGACGAAGAGGAGGGCGGGCAGGAGGAAGAGGAAGCCGAGGAAGCAGGUGACUGUUGCGGCCAUCUUGAGGAGGUUGAGUCGGGCCUCCACGAUGCGGGCGAAGUGGACGGCUCUCACCCACGCCCGCAGCCCCCACGCCCACCGCCGCCCCGCCCCACGCAGCACAGACGCCCGCCGAUACUUCCUGCAGCGUGUAAAGUCACUCUUCUCCGCCGAGUCGUGAGGGUGUGGGAGAGUGGGCGACCCGCGUUCUGGCGUGUCCCGAUGUGGAGUGAGAGAGCACUGAGCAGAGACCCAGGAAGACCUUCAAUCACACGUCGAGGAAAAGCUA